Molecule: ribosomal RNA, 356 nt
Filed under: uncultured bacterium
Lineage: Bacteria
Description: bacterial SSU rRNA
Rfam family: Bacterial small subunit ribosomal RNA
Source: RNAcentral
GAGUGGCAGACGGGUGAGUAACGCGUGGGAACAUACCCUUUCCUGCGGAAUAGCUCCGGGAAACUGGAAUUAAUACCGCAUACGCCCUACGGGGGAAAGAUUUAUCGGGGAAGGAUUGGCCCGCGUUGGAUUAGCUAGUUGGUGGGGUAAAGGCCUACCAAGGCGACGAUCCAUAGCUGGUCUGAGAGGAUGAUCAGCCACAUUGGGACUGAGACACGGCCCAAACUCCUACGGGAGGCAGCAGUGGGGAAUAUUGGACAAUGGGCGCAAGCCUGAUCCAGCCAUGCCGCGUGAGUGAUGAAGGCCUUAGGGUUGUAAAGCUCUUUCACCGGAGAAGAUAAUGACGGUAUCCGGAG